This 278-nucleotide ribosomal RNA is filed under the name uncultured bacterium. Its description in RNAcentral is "partial 16S ribosomal RNA". It matches the Rfam family "Bacterial small subunit ribosomal RNA", at positions 524 to 798 of the family's 1533-position model. The record is from RNAcentral.
UACGUAGGGUGCGGGCGUUAAUCGGAAUUACUGGGCGUAAAGCGUGCGCAGGCGGCCUGUCAAGUCAGGUGUGAAAGCCCCGGGCUUAACCUGGGAAUUGCGCUUGAAACUAGCAGGCUAGAGUGCGGCAGAGGGGGGUGGAAUUCCACGUGUAGCAGUGAAAUGCGUAGAGAUGUGGAGGAACACCGAUGGCGAAGGCAGCCCCUGGGUUGACACUGACGCUCAUGCACGAAAGCGUGGGGAGCAAACAGGAUUAGAACCUACCGUGUACCGUCCGU